Long non-coding RNA from Rhagoletis pomonella (apple maggot), 200 nucleotides. RefSeq lists it as uncharacterized. The transcript has 3 exons. The record is from RefSeq and is a predicted model, not a curated record. NCBI's taxonomy places the organism in Eukaryota, Metazoa, Arthropoda, Insecta, Diptera, Tephritidae.
CGGGAAAAAAUAUUCGCGGUGUGCAAAUACAAAACAAAUAAAAAAUAAAAAGAAAAUGGACAUAAGAAAGUUUUUGUCAGCACCAAAAAGAAGAAUUGUAGAACCAACUACAGAACAGGUUGAAGAGGUUUCAGCGUCUACUUCAAGUCUUCAGGAAAGACCUUCAAGCUAUAAAGAUAUUCCAGCAAAUGACAUCGGAA